CUACGGGAUGCUCCAGUGAGGAAUAUUGCACAAUGGGGGGAACCCUGAUGCAGCAACGCCGCGUGGAGGAUGACGCAUUUCGGUGUGUAAACUCCUUUUAUAUGUCAAGAAAAUGACGGUAGCAUAUGAAUAGGCACCGGCUAACUCCGUGCCAGCAGCCGCGGUAAUACGGAGGGUGCAAGCGUUACUCGGAAUCACUGGGCGUAAAGGACGCGUAGGCGGGUUGGAAAGUCAGGUGUGAAAUCCUACAGCUUAACUGUAGAACUGCACUUGAAACUUCUAAUCUAGAGUAUGGGAGGGGGAGAUGGAAUUAGUGGUGUAGGGGUAAAAUCCGUAGAUAUCACUAGGAAUACCUAAAGCGAAGGCGAUCUCCUGGAACAUUACUGACGCUAAGGCGUGAAAGCGUGGGGGGCAAACAGGAUUAGAUACCCCUGUAGUC
This 439-nucleotide ribosomal RNA is filed under the name uncultured bacterium. Its description in RNAcentral is "partial 16S ribosomal RNA". It matches the Rfam family "Bacterial small subunit ribosomal RNA", at positions 339 to 795 of the family's 1533-position model. The record is from RNAcentral.